AAUGAUUGUAUUUCAGUAGUAUUUUGAGAAGUAGAUUGUAUUUCAGUAUUGAAAUUAUAAAAGGGUUACCGAUCAUCCCUAGAGCAAGUGGUAAAGGGUUUUGUGGUUGGUACUCUAGACCCAAGUUUGAAUCCUAGUUGAUUCACAUUUCCAGCUAAGUUUAUUUCUAAAUAAAAUAAACAAAGCGGGUAGCGUGCUAUCUAUCUCUCAAAAAAAAAAAAAAUUAUAAAAGGGCUUGUUU
This 241-nucleotide long non-coding RNA is filed under the name Ananas comosus (pineapple). RNAcentral's name for it is "long non-coding RNA (ACOM_LNC011093)". The record is from RNAcentral. Lineage: Eukaryota; Viridiplantae; Streptophyta; Magnoliopsida; Poales; Bromeliaceae.